CCGGCUGGCUCCGUGCCCGUCCACCGAACGGUCGGCAGGCGAUCCGCGUCGGUCGCGCGAGGUGGUAUGGUUACCCGGAGGCUGGUUCUUGUGUUGCCUACCCUUCAAGGGAAGCGCUCCACUCGAUGUAGGCCUCCAUCCGGCGCCUUCAAACGGGCGCAGGAGGACAACGGAGCACCCCCCGCGUUCCACCGAGCCGUCGUCGGUCGGGUGGCCCGCGGGGACGUGCGAUGCUCUCGGACCCGGCGCACGCCGUGGGCGAGGACUCACGUCCCAGUCCCAAGAGAAGCUUCGGUACAAUGUUGACGGCCGCUCCCGCCCCCAGACCGCCCCGGCGGUGUGAGGGCGCGGCGCGGCGUCGCGGAGGAAUGCUACCU
This 377-nucleotide unclassified non-coding RNA is filed under the name Acacia pickardii. RNAcentral describes it as "partial external transcribed spacer". The record is from RNAcentral. Lineage: Eukaryota; Viridiplantae; Streptophyta; Magnoliopsida; Fabales; Fabaceae.